Molecule: transfer RNA, 63 nt
Filed under: Allorhynchium sp. GX
Lineage: Eukaryota; Metazoa; Arthropoda; Insecta; Hymenoptera; Vespidae
Also listed under: 1 other name
Description: tRNA-Thr
Source: RNAcentral
AGCUUUAUAGUUUAAAAAAAAUUUUAAUCUUGUAAAUUAAAGAUAAAUAUAAUUUUAAAGCUU